Gadus macrocephalus (Pacific cod) is the source of this 1070-nucleotide long non-coding RNA. RefSeq lists it as uncharacterized. The transcript has 2 exons. The record is from RefSeq and is a predicted model, not a curated record. Lineage: Eukaryota; Metazoa; Chordata; Actinopteri; Gadiformes; Gadidae.
AGUGAGACGAAAGCGAAUCCAAUUCUGUCACCUUUUCAAAAACAACACGUCAAUUUACGUCACAAUACCAGUUACCUAAAGACAAUGUAAACGGUAGUAAACUGGUUGUCGAUUAUUAUCAACGCCCCUGCUAAAGACAAUAUAAACGGUAGUAAACUGUCGGCCUACCUUUUCUCUUCUACUCUGGGUUAAAAAUGCGCCCAGACGGUAUACAGGUUUGAAAAUAUAGAUGCAUUGGGAGAAACGGAGGAACGAAAGCCUCCUCGCUGCGACGGAGCGUCCAGAAUGAGGAAACGGGGAGGAGGAGCCAACCCUGUGGACUCGGUUGAUUACUCGGUUGAUUACUUAUUGAAACUUUAGGCAGCACACAGUCACCCACACAUUUAAUUCUUUAUUUGAAUCCACCAAUCACACACACACACACACACACACACACACACACACACACACACACACACACACACACACACACACACACACACACACACACACACACACACACACACACACACACACACACACACACACACACACACUCCCCUAGGUAAACACACAGGUGGGCGAAGGCUAUCAAAACAGCUGCCGGCACGUCCCACAAAUGAACACAUUUUCCGUGCUGUUAGAGGCAAGACGCUCGCUCGCCCACCGAGCGCGGGGACUCGUGUGUGUACAUGAACGGAACACACACACACGCACACGCACACACACACACUAUAGGAUCACUGAGCCAACUGUAAAGUCAGCCUUAAUAGUGUAACGACCUGUGUUCUCAUUGUGUUCGUUCCCUUCCGGGUUCGUACGGGGGAUUCUGGGGGCGCAUGUUGUCGUUGUUAUUGUUGUUGUUCUGGGUCCGUUGCUAGUUUUGGCGUUUGUGAAUGAUCAGUGGGGUUAAUGGGUUGGGAUUGUUCAUUGUUGUGUGUUGUUCUGUUUUGUGUCGUUGUUGCCACCGUCACCGAGAAUGACUUGUGUGUUAGUUAGCUGUACUGUUCUAUGUACGUGUCCGGGGUUAAUAAAAAGGUGGUUUCUGUCGUCAAGCGGUGUAUGAGGCGCAGAACCACUAUUGACCAAAA